UCUUUCUCAGCAAUACAGUUCGUUUCCACAAUAUCGUGCCAUUGUUGUUGUAGUUUUUAAACAAUUUUCUAUUACUACGUUGGGUAAUUUUCGUAAAAUGGUUAAAAGUAGUUGUAGUUUUGUCAGUAGAUGUAUUACGAACGUCGUAUUUAACGGUACGUGUUGUGGAAUUGUAUGCGUAAUGUUGUGAAUUUAUUUUUGCUUAAAUUUUGCCAAAAUUUUUCUACAAAAAAGCAAAAAAUUAAAAAAAUUGUAAAUGGAAUAUUUUUAUUGAUAAAAAAUUAAAAGAAAUGUGAAAAAAUCUACUUAAAAAAUAUAUAUAAAAAAUAAUAAAGUUAAAUAGAAAUAGUUAAUAAUAUUUAUACUUAUACAAGUUUUAAAAAAUUAUGUUGAUUGUAACAUUAAGUGUUUAGUUUUUAAAGCAUCUUUAAAACAUCAGCAACUUCGGGGAAAACGAAAAGUGAUUUUUCUUAUAUACCAACAGCUGAGCAAACGAAUGCCAUUGUUUAUGUGAAAAAUCAAAAUUUAUACGAAAUAAAUAAUAAAAUAUUCCCUAAAAGCUAUAAAAAGUAAAAAC
This is a long non-coding RNA of Lucilia cuprina (Australian sheep blowfly), 577 nucleotides long. RefSeq lists it as uncharacterized. The record is from RefSeq and is a predicted model, not a curated record. The transcript has 2 exons. Lineage: Eukaryota; Metazoa; Arthropoda; Insecta; Diptera; Calliphoridae.